GUAUUCGCUUCAGCAGCACAUAUUCUAAAACUGGAACGAUACAGAGAAGAUUAGCAUGGUCCCAGCACAACGAUGACAUGAAAAUUCAUGGCGCAUUCCUUAUUUUU
Choloepus hoffmanni (Hoffmann's two-fingered sloth) is the source of this 107-nucleotide small nuclear RNA. Lineage: Eukaryota; Metazoa; Chordata; Mammalia; Pilosa; Megalonychidae. The record is from Ensembl.